AAAAAAAGAAAUUAAUGGAAUCUGUUCAAAAUACCCCUGAAAUGAAAUUACAUUUUUAACUCUAAUUACCCUAAUUAAAACUUGACAGCUGUAAUCCUGGAAUGGCAGAUAUGCUAAGUACCCCAUGCCUGUGACAAGCUUACUUACCCAGAUGGAAUGUUAUUCUGUUCUGGGCUUAGGAGAAAAAUUCUUUUGUAUGUUUGUUUUGUUGUUCCCCAUCAGCAAUUUAGUCUUUGGCCUCACAGCUUCCACAGGCUAGGAUAGUCAGUCAUACUUGUGGGCCACAGGCUUGUCCAGAACCCCUUAUUCUCAACAUAGAUCCUUUUGUAUCCAGAGGUGAUGCUCCUGAUGAUUCUUACCACAUACUUUUGAGUUCUCUCUUCAGUUGAGGUUGGACUAUUUGCCCUGAGCCUUUUACUGGGUGAAAUCCCCUGCCUCUGGGGAUCAAGGAUUGGUGCUUGUUAGAAGGCUGUCUGCUAAAUCUGUUUCUGGGAUCAGUUUAUGGCUGGUAUUAAGGAUACACUUUGAGGAGUUCCUGUUGUGGGGCAAUGGAAAUGAAUCCGACUAGCAUCCAUGAGGACUUGGAUUCAGUACCUGACCUUGCUCAGGGGGUUAAAGAUCCCUCUCGGAGCUUGCUCAGGGGGUUAAAGAUCCAUCUCGGAGCUCCAAUUUGACUCCUAGUCUGGGAACUUCCAUAGACCUUGGGUGUGGCCCUAAAAAGCAAAAAGAAAAAAGCUGAGAGAGGAGGAUAUAGUUUCAGGUCUGGGACAGGGAGCUCUGAAAAUGGGGUCUCUCUUCUCCUCACAUAUCUCAGUAUAGGCUGGAGCCACCUAGUGAAAUACCCAGUCUUGGUCUCUACCUGAACUGGUUACCUGGUCAGAUGAUGAACAUAAUGGGGAGGGAGGGUGGCAGCCCUUGAAGCAGAUUGAAGGCUCCAUUGAUGGCGUGAGUCAUCUUAUGGUUCUGUUAGAACCAAAGAUCCCCAUGUUCUAGUGACUUUCUCUUAGCCUAGAAGCCUGUUCAGUCAGCUUACACUGGGUGUUAUGUUAGAUACUGCAAGGGAUACAGAGUUCAAUAAGACACAUUCCCUGCCCCUGAGAAGCUUAGAAUUGUGGGGGAGUUGGAAGGAAGUAGUGGUUAAGGCACAGCCAUAUGGUGACUGAUUACUUAAGGCAGAACAAGCAAAGACUUUAAACAGGUGUUGGCAUUUGAGCUUGUCCCUGAAUAAGUAAAAUUGGCAAAGGAAUAGAGAAGGGCUUUGCAGGUGUUAAGGAAUAGCAUGGUGGAAAGUAGGAAGUUGUCUGCUGUGAUUGGAGUACAGUGAGCUGAUAGAGAUAUGGUAGAGGAUGAGGGUAGAGUUUAAACUUUAUCCUAUAGGCAAAGGGAAUCCAUUGAGGGUGCAGGACUGUGAUGGAUUGGGGAGGCAAGAUGAUUGGAGACAUUAGAUUAGUUAGAACAGGUGUCAGCAAGCUAAUGCCUGUGAGCUAAAUCAGUUUGCUGCUUCUUUGCAUAAAGUGGUACUGGAAUACAGCCACACUCAUUUGUUCAUAUAUGACUGUUUUCAUACUAGAUCAGCAGAGUUGAAUACUAUAGAGAUUGCUGGCCCUAUGCAGAAAAAGGUUGCUGACCUUUGAGUUAGAAGGUAAUUAGGAAAGUUCCGUAAGAGGAGAUAAGUGUCAGGACUAAUGGAGGUGUCAAAUGAGAGUUUUCAAAAGAAGGGACAGUAUGAUUUGGAGUUCCCGUUGUGGCUCAGUGGUUAACUAACCCGACUAGUAAUCAUGAGGUUGUGGGUUCGAUCCCUGGCCUCGCUCAGUGGGUUAAGGAUGCGGUGUUACCAGGAGCUGUGGAGUAGGUCACAGAUGAGGCUCGGAUCCCGUAUUGCUAUGCUGCUGGCCUAUACCACAGCCAUAGCAAUAUCAGAUCCUAGCCGAGUCUGCGACCUACACCACAGUUCAUGGCAACGCUGGAUCCUUAACCCACUGAUCAAGGCUAGGUGUUGAACCUGUAUCCUCGUGGAUACUAAUCGGGUUCGUAACUGCUGAGUCACAACAGAAUUCCCUGGGCUUUCUUCUCUAAGAUCUCAACUUAGAGCAUAGCGUUUUGCCUUUUUUCUUUUCCCCUGUGUGCUUCACUCCUUUCAUUCUGUAGUAUUUGUGUAUGUACAUACUCCAUGCUCUUUAAAUUCACUGUAUUUGACUGUGAGAAGAAUAGUUAUAUCUCUAGCUAUUUUUACUGGUAGGGUUCCAAGAACUGGCACUCAGUUACUGGUGUGGAACAGACCUUGGGAGUCAGGUCCAGCUGACCCUAGGAUUCAGCAAGGCAUGCUCUCUCUAGGAUGGGCAGUCUAGUCUAGUUCAGUACAGGCUAACAUUUUGCCCUGGCAUCCAUGAUACAGCGGAGGAAGAAGGGCCAGACAUUGAUCCAGUCAAUUUUUGUUGUUGUUCAUUUACCUCAAAACUCUGAAAUCUGUGCUAUUAUCAGAGAUAUCAUUUUACAGAUGUGGGGACUUAGUUUCAGAGGAUUAUUCAGUAGACAGAGACUAACUCAUUAAGGAUACAGGGAAUAACCUAAAUAUUCCCACUUCCCAAAUUGGGGAGAGUUGUGGAAAAGAACAAUAGUAAUCUACUCUCUUUAGAGGAUAUAAGAGGAGUUCCUGUUGUGGCUUAGUGGAUUAAGAACCCGACAUAUUCUCCCUGAGGAUGCAGGUUUGAUCCCUGGCCUCAUUCAGUGGAUUAAGGAUCCAGCAUUGCCUCAAGCUGUGGCGUAACUCACAAAUAUAGCUUGGAUCCAGUGUUGCUGUGACUGUGUUGUAGGCUAGCAGCUGCAGCUCUGAUGACACCUAGCCUGGGAACUUCCUUGUGCCAUAAGUGUGGCAGUAAAAAGGAAAAGAAAGAAAAAAAAAAAAAAAAGAAAAAAA
Molecule: long non-coding RNA, 2917 nt
Filed under: Sus scrofa (pig)
Lineage: Eukaryota; Metazoa; Chordata; Mammalia; Artiodactyla; Suidae
Description: lncRNA (ENSSSCG00060058055.1)
Source: RNAcentral